RNAcentral lists this ribosomal RNA (548 nucleotides) under uncultured Staphylococcus sp. RNAcentral describes it as "bacterial SSU rRNA". It matches the Rfam family "Bacterial small subunit ribosomal RNA", at positions 184 to 719 of the family's 1533-position model. Lineage: Bacteria; Bacillati; Bacillota; Bacilli; Caryophanales; Staphylococcaceae. The record is from RNAcentral.
AACCGCAUGGUUCAAUAGUGAAAGACGGUUUUGCUGUCACUUAUAGAUGGAUCCGCGCCGCAUUAGCUAGUUGGUAAGGUAACGGCUUACCAAGGCGACGAUGCGUAGCCGACCUGAGAGGGUGAUCGGCCACACUGGAACUGAGACACGGUCCAGACUCCUACGGGAGGCAGCAGUAGGGAAUCUUCCGCAAUGGGCGAAAGCCUGACGGAGCAACGCCGCGUGAGUGAUGAAGGUCUUCGGAUCGUAAAACUCUGUUAUUAGGGAAGAACAAAUGUGUAAGUAACUAUGCACGUCUUGACGGUACCUAAUCAGAAAGCCACGGCUAACUACGUGCCAGCAGCCGCGGUAAUACGUAGGUGGCAAGCGUUAUCCGGAAUUAUUGGGCGUAAAGCGCGCGUAGGCGGUUUUUUAAGUCUGAUGUGAAAGCCCACGGCUCAACCGUGGAGGGUCAUUGGAAACUGGAAAACUUGAGUGCAGAAGAGGAAAGUGGAAUUCCAUGUGUAGCGGUGAAAUGCGCAGAGAUAUGGAGGAACACCAGUGGCGAA